Molecule: ribosomal RNA, 1536 nt
Filed under: Klebsiella pneumoniae
Lineage: Bacteria; Pseudomonadati; Pseudomonadota; Gammaproteobacteria; Enterobacterales; Enterobacteriaceae
Description: 16S ribosomal RNA
Rfam family: Bacterial small subunit ribosomal RNA
Source: RNAcentral
UUGAAGAGUUUGAUCAUGGCUCAGAUUGAACGCUGGCGGCAGGCCUAACACAUGCAAGUCGAGCGGUAGCACAGAGAGCUUGCUCUCGGGUGACGAGCGGCGGACGGGUGAGUAAUGUCUGGGAAACUGCCUGAUGGAGGGGGAUAACUACUGGAAACGGUAGCUAAUACCGCAUAAUGUCGCAAGACCAAAGUGGGGGACCUUCGGGCCUCAUGCCAUCAGAUGUGCCCAGAUGGGAUUAGCUAGUAGGUGGGGUAACGGCUCACCUAGGCGACGAUCCCUAGCUGGUCUGAGAGGAUGACCAGCCACACUGGAACUGAGACACGGUCCAGACUCCUACGGGAGGCAGCAGUGGGGAAUAUUGCACAAUGGGCGCAAGCCUGAUGCAGCCAUGCCGCGUGUGUGAAGAAGGCCUUCGGGUUGUAAAGCACUUUCAGCGGGGAGGAAGGCGAUAAGGUUAAUAACCUUGUCGAUUGACGUUACCCGCAGAAGAAGCACCGGCUAACUCCGUGCCAGCAGCCGCGGUAAUACGGAGGGUGCAAGCGUUAAUCGGAAUUACUGGGCGUAAAGCGCACGCAGGCGGUCUGUCAAGUCGGAUGUGAAAUCCCCGGGCUUAACCUGGGAACUGCAUUCGAAACUGGCAGGCUAGAGUCUUGUAGAGGGGGGUAGAAUUCCAGGUGUAGCGGUGAAAUGCGUAGAGAUCUGGAGGAAUACCGGUGGCGAAGGCGGCCCCCUGGACAAAGACUGACGCUCAGGUGCGAAAGCGUGGGGAGCAAACAGGAUUAGAUACCCUGGUAGUCCACGCCGUAAACGAUGUCGAUUUGGAGGUUGUGCCCUUGAGGCGUGGCUUCCGGAGCUAACGCGUUAAAUCGACCGCCUGGGGAGUACGGCCGCAAGGUUAAAACUCAAAUGAAUUGACGGGGGCCCGCACAAGCGGUGGAGCAUGUGGUUUAAUUCGAUGCAACGCGAAGAACCUUACCUGGUCUUGACAUCCACAGAACUUAGCAGAGAUGCUUUGGUGCCUUCGGGAACUGUGAGACAGGUGCUGCAUGGCUGUCGUCAGCUCGUGUUGUGAAAUGUUGGGUUAAGUCCCGCAACGAGCGUAACCCUUAUCCUUUGUUGCCAGCGGUUAGGCCGGGAACUCAAAGGAGACUGCCAGUGAUAAACUGGAGGAAGGUGGGGAUGACGUCAAGUCAUCAUGGCCCUUACGACCAGGGCUACACACGUGCUACAAUGGCAUAUACAAAGAGAAGCGACCUCGCGAGAGCAAGCGGACCUCAUAAAGUAUGUCGUAGUCCGGAUUGGAGUCUGCAACUCGACUCCAUGAAGUCGGAAUCGCUAGUAAUCGUAGAUCAGAAUGCUACGGUGAAUACGUUCCCGGGCCUUGUACACACCGCCCGUCACACCAUGGGAGUGGGUUGCAAAAGAAGUAGGUAGCUUAACCUUCGGGAGGGCGCUUACCACUUUGUGAUUCAUGACUGGGGUGAAGUCGUAACAAGGUAACCGUAGGGGAACCUGCGGUUGGAUCACCUCCUU